UUUUUGUUUUUCAUAUUGCGUGUGGGUCUCCCACCAGUAUGGUCAGCUGCGAUUGUAAUCUAAAGGUAUAUAUGAUGCCCCCCAUAGGGGGUCUCACAGAGAUUAGCUGCUCGUGGCCGUUGGAUCUUACCCGUCUGGCAAUCUUGUCCGUCUUUUUUUUCACUGGUGGAGUAGUCUAGGACGAGGCCCUCGCGCGAACCAGCUUUUUAUCCAUGGGUCGAUGAAGCCCUCCCGGCCCAGCCUCUCGCGUCGCUCGUUACCCUCCUCUCCCCUCGCGCCGCGCCGCCGCCUCGCGCUCGCCGUCUCCUCCCCUCCCGUUCCCGUGCGCGUGCGGCGGCCGCCGCCGCCAUCCCCGCCGCCAGCCUCUCUUCCUCCCCCACGUCCCUAGCCCACUUUCGCCCAAUCCCCGCGCGAGAUCCGUCCUCGCCCAUGGCGGCGGUUUCCUGCCGCAACUCCUCUUCGCUGCGCCUCGCCUCCCACCUCUCUCCUCCCACUCCUCCCUCUACCUCAUCUCUGAUGGCUCCGGUUCGCCUUGGGCGCGGCCACCGCGCAAGGCGCGAGCGGGGCGUCGGCCUUGGGCGCGAGCCCUGCUAUGGCACGCCCCGUCUGCCCCGCUCACCGCUGCAACGAAUCAUCGCGUUGCCGGGAGGAGCCGCGCCGCGAGCUGCGCCGGCUCGGCCAAGGCGACGAGGACCAAGAUCCGGGGCGGCGUCUUUCAUCCUCGCCUUCCUCUCCCACUUCCCCACUGAUUCGGGGAGAAACAUGGCAGCAGGAGCGACAUGGAGCGACCGAGCGUCGGCGGUAGGAAGCGCACGCCUGGGCGACAGCGGCGGCAAGCGCGGGCCUUGGCGACGGCGGCGCCCAUCGGUGAGCAGCGAAGGGGUCUCCGACGGCGGAAGGAGUGCUGCGCCCGGCGUCCGGACAAGCUCCCAUCCUCAAUCCCUCCAUGUGCGCCGUCGUCCGCGUCCCGUCGCCGUCACCUUCGUCUCGACGCAAUGGGGCCAGGCACUCCCUCGCACGCGCUCAUCCUAGGUUGGAGAUGCGGAUGAGGCAGUGUGGCGCUGUGUGACCCAGCUCCUACAGCUGCAGACCGAGAUUAGGGAGAAGAGGCAAAUUCAGAGAGAUGCCACACAAGGACAUGGGAGACCAACGUGGAAGGAGGCUCAGCCAAGCCGUGGCCAUGGUGCAGCUCUCUCCCAAUUUACAGAGCGUUCCAUUUUGUUCAGAUGUUUGUUUGUGGAUAUUUUUUUUAUCUGUGCCUACCAGUUUUUGAUGAAAAUCGUGGCAACCUAAAGAUAGGUGUACUAAAAUGCAGUCUCCCCCUUGCUAGAUGUGCAUCCAUGGAUGGAGCUUACCCGGUGGCCUUGCUAGAUAGCUGAGACAGGUUGUACUUGGAGUGAAGAUGAUGAUGAUAGAUCAACGAUUACAAGUACUGAGCCACUCACAGAAUAUUCAGCUCUUCGGUUCAUGUGGUUUUAUCACUUCUUUCAGACCAUGUGAGCUGAUUCCUUUUCCUUUAUAUGCGCAGAUUAUUUACUUGCUUAGGCUACAAUUUUACCUGGUCGGUUAUUAAUGCAUGCCGAGAUAAGAAAAUUUAUCCAGUGUUUCUUGCUAUACCAAAUCAGAUAACUAACUGAGUAUUGUAGUUAUAUACAUCCGAUGAUUUUUAUUACCAUGUUUGUCAGCUAUGGUGAUGGAAAAUCAAGCAGAGCCACUUGAUUUUUUUAGUCUAUUGACGUUUUUUCUGUGGUUACCUUUGCUUCUUUGACUGAUGUCAGUCUGAUUAGUACAAGGGUGUUGUUUGCUGUGUAGUAAGGUACUGAGGUGCUGUUUGCUUUGCAGUACAAAUGAUAGCUUGGUUGCUUAAAAUGCAGAUGUUGUUUGAUGUUUAGCUUCCUUACUUGAAAAUCAGAAUUUGACUGCAAAAUGGGCAGUCCACGGCUUCUCCUUAAUUUGCACAUCCUGGAAAAACAAAACUGGAGCUGUAGCCCCUUUUAACACCACACUGUGAUCUAGCCUGCUAAGAUAAAAAGAAAAAGAAAAACUAAGCAACCCAGGACAGAUUAAGUAUUACUAGAGAGACAUGCUCUAGAAUAACUUUUACUCUACAGAAAAUACUUUGGUUAUAUCAGAACCAUAUGCUAAUUACUAUUGUAAUGUAUUAUGUAUCAGAACCAUAUGCUAAUAAGUAUUGUAAUGUAUUUUCCUAUUUCAGUUGUGCUAUGUAUGCAGUUGCUGCCCUGCCUAUAUUUACGUGUGAAUCUCUUGGGAAUUUUAUUGGUCACCCUCACGUGAUGUUAUAUAUUCUUAUUCGCUACUUCUAUGUGUCACAUUUCAGCGUCGCACCACCUGGUAAUCCGCAAAUGGUUCUUCACUUUGUUUAGCCUGUACAAGUCAUCGAUGAACCAUAUGAACCAGAAUUAGACAAAUACCGAUAGUACGAUUUUUUUUACUAAAAUAAAUAUAUUACCAGGUCAUUAAAACAGCAUACUUACCCCCUCUAUUUCAUUUCCUCUUUCAUCCCCAUCUCUCUGGCUCGGUGGCGGCAUAGCCUGCGAUCUGCCGAGCUGGUGUUUUCGCUAUUAUGGUCCAUUUCGUUUCGACCAUUUUUUCUAUAAUAUUGUUUAUUAUCUUUUUAUUUCAACUAUUUUAUCGAUUGUUGUACACGAUGUGUUACUUGAGGUUUUUUUUUUUUAAAAUUCUUACCAAAAUUGAGAUAGCAUUUCUGAAAAAUUAUCCACCAAAGAUGAUGCAUGAGGAGCAACUAAUAUAUCAUCAUUUCUAUAUUUGGUUUUGUUUCCUAUGAAAGUAAACAGAGUUCUGAACAGAACAUUCAUCUUUCUAUGGCCAUCAGAUUGAAUUAGAGUUUGUUUGUGCUUAUGUUAUAUUUUUUCGAUAAAGGGAAUAUAUUAAUAUCAAAAAGAUACCAAUUACACCCAGCAUCUGCAACAACGCACCACCCUAAUGGCACUACGGAUGCACACAGCCAAAAAAAGGAAAAGAAAAACUAAGAAACAAAAGUCCCGCUACAGUGUCUCGGGCCUAACAACAGCAAUACAUCCACCGCCAAAACAACACCUGAAAUACAGACUCUCCAAAAACGACGCCUCCAAGAAGGGAACAGUGCUCUAACACCGUCGUCGCCCGAUCAACGAUCUUAGGUUUUCACCCUGAAGAUAGUCCCCGCUCUCAAAACAAUGCCUCCAACAAGGUCAUUGCCAGGCAUAGUUUUAUAUAUUCUCGGAAGGUAUGAAAGGUCAUCAGAUUGGGUAAGAGUUUGUUUAUGUUUAUGUUAUAUAUAUUCUCGGAAACGUUUGAAUAGCGACUUGUGUGGAAUAGUUUUUGUUUAGAAAAAUCAUGUGAUCUCAUAUAUUCAUGCCCUUACAUAGUACCAAUGACUUUUACAAAACGGAUGCAGAGUAGUCAGCCAUCUCAUUUAUGCUCUACACAUGCUUCUAUGUAAACCAGGGGCCUCCCUACAUGUGUCAUGCCAUUCCUUUAUUCUCUCGCUUGUCUUUUAAUUGCAACUUUAAUAUUUGUUUAAUGGAGAAUAUACUAAGAUGAAGAGUGAACUGAAUCAUUUUGAAUUUGGUGUCCUUUUUAAACGACUUCCAUGGUUUUACAAUUUUACUUCACCAUGAAGUCAUAUAUCAAGAAAUUACGGCUCAUCAACAAAAUAAUGUAUAUGAAUAUUAUCAGUUCAUCGUGCUUUGGAUAGUUGCAGCUUCCGGAUAAUUGUAUCAUAUAGUAGAUUUAGAUAUUACUUGGUUGAGCUACAGUUUUACAUAUUACUGUCUCGGUAUUUAGCCACAUCUGGUCAUAUUUCAGCUGGGAUAUGCUGGUUUUUAAGUUUUGGUGCUUUUGCACUCCUUUUAUUUCUACCAAGUUAAUUAUGCGAUUUUACUUUACUUUUGAUAUUUCAACUCUAAGCUUGUCGUGCCAUGUUAUUCAGGUUUCCGUCCAAUUUAGUUCUCCUUUCUUUUUUGCCUUUUUGGUUCAUGCUAAUUCUUUGUGAGUAAAACAUCUCCAGGCAGCGGAAUUUUGCUUGAGGUGCACUAAGUUAGCACAUGAAUGGGAAGGAGUCGAGCAAAUUAUAAGCGGCCAAUCAGCCAUUUCUAAGGUUCUGGAUAUGGGGAACUAUCAUGUAGCAAUGGAUGCAAGAAAGGUCUACCGAAGUUCAUUUUCACACCCUUGAAUAAGUCCAGAUAAGUAUCUAUCCAAUGAUAUUUAAUAUCACACUUGAUAGUUCCAGAUUUGGAAGAUCAACUGGAUGCAUAUGCCUCAUCAAUGUAUUCGAUUAGUAAACAUAUUUUUACAAGUACAGUAAUUGUUGAGGUAGUGAUUACGGAUGAUGUGCAUGAUCAUGCUAUCAAUUACCACUGUAAGAUUGUACAUAACAAAACUAAAUAGUACUUUACAUAUGUGAUAAUUUUCUGUUCCUAUCCUGCACUUAGAACACUUUCCACAAUUAUUGAUAACUCUGGUUAAACAUCGGCAGCCGGAGAUCUUGGGAAAUUGUUGUUCUGGUGUAGAGAAAAAAUAUUUAAAUUGUAUGAGGCCAAAGUUUUUGGCUAUCUGAUACAUUAUAGGCACACAAGUUGUUAUUAUUUGUUGAUUCAAUUCCUUUUUUUUCCUUUUGUAGAAAUUGGAGUUUAUAUACAGCAGCCGAAUGAAUCAAAAUAAUAUCUCUGCUCUGCUUUUUUUUGCAAGAAUUAGGAUUUCCGUUUCUCAUGUGCAUUAUUACUCCAUAGACAAUCUCACUAACAAACGAAUUGGAUUUGAGCCAUCCUACUAUCCAUUCUUAGUGUUCAAUUUCAUUGGUGAAAAAAAGCCACCGCUCAACUUGCAUCCCUGGCCGCCGGUACCGGUGUCGCCCGACCGCCAAAGGCGGUGAGGGAGUGCGCGCACCCUGGCAGGGCUCCUCGUGCGAAGAAGCAUCGCCUUCUGGGUCGCGCGACCUCGGCGAGGCGGAGUGGAAGCAGUGAUUCAGAGUGUUGGAAGGCGUUGUGGCACGGUGCCAGCUGCGCGAGAGGUUGGCGGCAACGCUCUGGCCCGACCUGGGCUGGACGGGCCACGACCGUGCACCCCCCGUUCUAAUAUCCUUCCACCGAUCCUCCGCUGGUGGAGGACGCCGUGCAUGCGAGCAGGAGCCUAUUGUUGUUAUGGUCUAUAGUCGAGGGCACCUCCUUACCAAGUUGUAUUCGCUUGGUGAGGACGACCGUGUAUGUGUGUGUAUCGUGUGUAUUCCCCUGAUGUCUUCUUCCUAUUCAAUGAAAUCGAACGCAAAAUCUCUUGCGUUUCCUUGAAAGAAAAAACUAAAAAACA
Molecule: non-coding RNA, 5325 nt
Organism: Lolium perenne
Lineage: Eukaryota; Viridiplantae; Streptophyta; Magnoliopsida; Poales; Poaceae
Source: RefSeq, a predicted model, not a curated record